This 243-nucleotide ribosomal RNA is filed under the name Campylobacter jejuni. RNAcentral's name for it is "partial 16S ribosomal RNA". It matches the Rfam family "Bacterial small subunit ribosomal RNA", at positions 508 to 750 of the family's 1533-position model. Lineage: Bacteria; Pseudomonadati; Campylobacterota; Epsilonproteobacteria; Campylobacterales; Campylobacteraceae. The record is from RNAcentral.
CCAGCCCGUGCGGUAAUACGGAGGGUGCAAGCGUUACUCGGAAUCACUGGGCGUAAAGGGCGCGUAGGCGGAUUAUCAAGUCUCUUGUGAAAUCUAAUGGCUUAACCAUUAAACUGCUUGGGAAACUGAUAGUCUAGAGUGAGGGAGAGGCAGAUGGAAUUGGUGGUGUAGGGGUAAAAUCCGUAGAUAUCACCAAGAAUACCCAUUGCGAAGGCGAUCUGCUGGAACUCAACUGACGCUAAG